This 744-nucleotide non-coding RNA is filed under the name Pongo abelii (Sumatran orangutan). Lineage: Eukaryota; Metazoa; Chordata; Mammalia; Primates; Hominidae. The record is from RNAcentral.
GCGGCGCGCGCCCUCCUCCCAUUGGACCCGGCGCUCCCGGCAGGCCUACAGAAUUGGGCGUGAAACAGCAAAGGAUGGCCUCUGCUUCCACCACCAUCAGAAAUGUUACAUUUUCACCAGUGCACCAUAAUGUAGCAGUCUCUUAUUGUGAGGUAUCACCUGGAGUUCUUUGUCUCAUGACCAAGAAAAUUAAGGAGCGUGGAUGCAAAUGGUGAAGUUGCAGCGAAAGUUUAAUAAGCAAAAGAAGAAAGCUCUCCACAGUGGAGAGGGGACCCGGAGGAGGGUUGCUGUUUUUACAGUAUCUUCCCUUGUGGACUACACCAAUGUCGAAAUGUUCUUGCUAAAAAUGAUGCAGGGAGAAAGACAAAGUUAUAAAGUUGGCAUCCACAAUUUUUCCAUCUUGCCUCGCUCCCCAAUUUAAAUGAAGGAAAAAAAAUUGGUGAGGUCUCCAGCCCUGUCUGAAGCAGGCAUCCAUUAUCCUGCUCAGGGGGUGACCUUUAUCUUCAUGGCCCAGUGUGGCUGCAAGAGCUCUAGCAUCCAAGUUCCCAGCAGAAGGAUGGAGGACUGGCUGGAAAAACAAGGACACACAGGGUAUGCAUCAGAUAUGAAAUUUAUGUCAUACAAUUUCUUUACCAAUAGAUAAGACUGAAAGCAACACCAGCCAGUCUUGGGAAAUAUAAAAUUGCAAAUAAAUUUUGAUAAUUUUUCAUUUUGUAAAGGAUCUUUCUGCUGAUGCAGCUGUUA